GAUGAACGCUGGCGGCGUGCCUAACACAUGCAAGUCGAACGAAGCACCUUACCUGAUUCUUCGGAUGAAAGUUUGGUGACUGAGUGGCGGACGGGUGAGUAACGCGUGGGUAACCUGCCCUGUACAGGGGGAUAACAGCUGGAAACGGCUGCUAAUACCGCAUAAGCGCACGAGGAGACAUCUCCUUGUGUGAAAAACUCCGGUGGUACAGGAUGGGCCCGCGUCUGAUUAGCUGGUUGGCAGUGUAACGGCCUACCAAGGCAACGAUCAGUAGCCGGUCUGAGAGGAUGAACGGCCACAUUGGAACUGAGACACGGUCCAAACUCCUACGGGAGGCAGCAGUGGGGAAUAUUGCACAAUGGGGGAAACCCUGAUGCAGCAACGCCGCGUGAGUGAAGAAGUAUUUCGGUAUGUAAAGCUCUAUCAGCAGGGAAGAUAAUGACGGUACCUGACGAAGAAGCUCCGGCUAAAUACGUG
This 477-nucleotide ribosomal RNA is filed under the name uncultured bacterium. RNAcentral describes it as "partial 16S ribosomal RNA". It matches the Rfam family "Bacterial small subunit ribosomal RNA", at positions 28 to 507 of the family's 1533-position model. The record is from RNAcentral.